Molecule: non-coding RNA, 32 nt
Filed under: Rattus norvegicus (Norway rat)
Lineage: Eukaryota; Metazoa; Chordata; Mammalia; Rodentia; Muridae
Source: RNAcentral
UCUUAGGACAGGCAGUUUAUGUGUUCUCCAGA